GAAGAUCAUCUUCCAAAUUUCCAGAUUUUCAAAACAUCACCAAAACUCAAAAUCAAGCACAACAUCAUGCAUUAUUUUUCACGUACAUCAUAAAUCCAUGAAUCAAUUACACAAAAACAUCAUCAAAUGCAUGGAUCGAAUGAAAUAAAGUUUAUCAUCAAAACUUCAAAUGACCAUAUCUCACUCGUUUCAACACCAAAUCACUCCAUUCAAAGCUCA
Molecule: long non-coding RNA, 219 nt
Filed under: Lathyrus oleraceus (garden pea)
Lineage: Eukaryota; Viridiplantae; Streptophyta; Magnoliopsida; Fabales; Fabaceae
Description: Pisum sativum (pea) long non-coding RNA (PSAT_LNC033734)
Source: RNAcentral